UGGUUUCCAUGGCAAGAAACACAGACACAAGGACCAGAAAGAAGCCAUGUUACAUUUCUGACUAUGAUCCUUAUUACCGACCUGGACCAGUCAAUGGAUCAUACCUGGGAGCUGUGGAGAGGAAUGUGUCUACCUUAAGAAGAUAUAUCCAAAACUACAAUUGGAAUAUCUCAGCGGAAAAACUGUGAUAAAAUAUCUUCAGAAGAGCAUGCACUGCUACGGACCCAGCACAGAGCAGAGGAAUUACCCAUCUGAGUAGAGAUCUCUACUUCCUCCUUCAAGCCACUGACUUCCUUCAUCUUGAUCCUCCCCCAAGAAGAAGUUGCUCUCCCAUAUCGAGGUACAGAGACAUUUCAGUCAUUCAAGUUCUGCUACGUGCUGGCUGUGAGGUUGCCAUGGUUUACUCAGAAAUGGAUCUUCUGGAUAUUCCAGAUUUUUGAGGUAAUGUGGG
Molecule: long non-coding RNA, 451 nt
Organism: Corvus hawaiiensis (hawaiian crow)
Lineage: Eukaryota; Metazoa; Chordata; Aves; Passeriformes; Corvidae
Exons: 3
Source: RefSeq, a predicted model, not a curated record